This is a non-coding RNA of Schistosoma curassoni, 46 nucleotides long. The record is from Rfam. Lineage: Eukaryota; Metazoa; Platyhelminthes; Trematoda; Strigeidida; Schistosomatidae.
GCACUGCUGAGGAGUCCCAUACUAGGAUGAAAUGGCCAUCCAGUGC